GACGAACGCUGGCGGCGCGCCUAACACAUGCAAGUCGAACGGAGCGCAGAGGAAGAUUUCCUUCGGGGAUGAUUCUUUUGUUGCUUAGUGGCGAACGGGUGAGUAACACGUGAGCAACCUACCUUCCAGUGGGGGACAACAUUUGGAAACAGAUGCUAAUACCGCAUAAGACCACAGCCGGACAUCCGGCAGCGGCCAAAGGAGCAAUUCGCUGGAAGAUGGGCUCGCGCCUGAUUAGAUAGUUGGUGGGGUAACGGCUCACCAAGUCUGCGAUCAGUAGCCGGACUGAGAGGUCGAACGGCCACAUUGGGACUGAGACACGGCCCAGACUCCUACGGGAGGCAGCAGUGGGGAAUAUUGCACAAUGGGCGAAAGCCUGAUGCAGCGACGCCGCGUGAGGGAAGAAGGUUUUCGGAUUGUAAACCUCUGUCUUUGGGGACGAAGAAGUGACGGUACCCAAGGAGGAAGCCACGGCUAACUACGUGCCAGCAGCCGCCGUAAAA
This 503-nucleotide ribosomal RNA is filed under the name uncultured bacterium. RNAcentral's name for it is "bacterial SSU rRNA". It matches the Rfam family "Bacterial small subunit ribosomal RNA", at positions 28 to 525 of the family's 1533-position model. The record is from RNAcentral.